Molecule: ribosomal RNA, 449 nt
Filed under: uncultured bacterium
Lineage: Bacteria
Description: partial 16S ribosomal RNA
Rfam family: Bacterial small subunit ribosomal RNA
Source: RNAcentral
AACGAACGCUGGCGGCAGGCCUAACACGUGCAAGUCGAACGCUGUAGCAAUACAGAGUGGCAGACGGGUGAGUAACGCGUGGGAACCUUCCCAGUGGUGCGGAAUAGCUCAGGGAAACUUGAGGUAAUACCGCAUAAGCCCCUAGGGGGAAAGAUUUAUCGCCAUUGGAUGGGCCCGCGUCGGAUUAGCUAGUUGGUGAGGUAAUGGCUCACCAAGGCAACGAUCCGUAGCUGGUUUGAGAGAAUGACCAGCCACACUGGGACUGAGACACGGCCCAGACUCCUACGGGAGGCAGCAGUGGGGAAUCUUGGACAAUGGGCGCAAGCCUGAUCCAGCCAUGCCGCGUGAGUGACGAAGGCCUUAGGGUUGUAAAGCUCUUUUGCCGGGGACGAUAAUGACGGUACCCGGAGAAUGAGUCCCGGCUAACUUCGUGCCAGCCGCCGCGGUAA